Equus caballus (horse) is the source of this 1750-nucleotide long non-coding RNA. Lineage: Eukaryota; Metazoa; Chordata; Mammalia; Perissodactyla; Equidae. The record is from Ensembl.
AAUGUUUUCUGUUUACAAGACUUUGACAUGAAUUAUCUUAUUUAUCAGUUAAACGAUUACCCCAUUUAAAACAUUAACUAGGCAGUCUACAUAGAAAAAAAGCCCGGGUACAGAUAUGCAUCUCUAGACACAUUUACCUUAGUGCUCACACCCUCAUUAUGAGAGUAGUGGAGUCGCUAUCUUGACUUUGAGAAAUAACAUGACUUCACAUACACACUAGUUAAUCUAGCUUUUGAGAUAGGUAGGUAUUAACUGUCAUUAAGACUCUGAUUUUUUAGUUAGAAAAACGGAGACAAGCCAGUAAGUCAAUAAAGCAACCAAGAUUACUAAGAGUAAAGGAAGGAAGCCAGGUUGCUGGCAGCCCAGUGUAGACAGCAGCCUCUUCCCAGUGGAGCAGGAUUGGCUGGUUGACCACAGGGACAAACCCAGCAGAUGGGUCAAGAUAGCAGCUGCUUGCAUGCUUGCCUCUUCCUGCUGACAUAUUCACUGGGUCUCAGCACUACCCCUGCAGGAGCCAUACUCUAUUAAGUUCUUAUUACAUGGCACCAGGCACUGUGCCAAACAUCUUGCACAUCAUAUGUCACUGAAUUUUCACGAUGUCUCUGUAAAUUGGUACUGUUAUUGUGUCUGUUUUAUAGACGUAGAACUGAAGCUCAGAGAAGCUGAGGGACGUGCCUAAGACUACAGAGCCAGGCAAGUUGCAGAACUGGGAUUAGAACCCAGCUCUGUUUGACUGCAAAGUCUGUUCCUGUCCCCCACUCCCCAUAAACUUCACUGCCCACUUUCCUCCUCCCUUCCUUUCUCCUUCCCACCACUUUGCAGAAUCAGAAUAUAUCAUAGAAGGAAAAAAAUAGCUUUUCCUGACAAGGCCUCUUCUUCUCAAUAUUAUUCUAAUGAGGAUAUUCUAACAGAAACUCUGGGGGCACAUUACAUCUCAUUAGACCCAUUUGAUGUCAAUUAUUAACUCCCCAGGUUAAUUUAACACAUACAAUGGCUAUCAGCUUACAUCCCUAGGCCCUGCUGAUGUAGGGCUUACAAGUAAACCAACUUCCCCCACAGAUAAUCCUAACUCUAGUAGCGAGUUGGCCUUCUGUUCUUGCUGUAAUACCAGAGUCAGGCAGGACAGCUUGUAAGUGUGCACAGGUUCAGGAAAAGGGCUCAGUCAACGGACCAGCAGCUUCGCCUACAAGUGCUUCUGCAAAGUGACAUCGAAGCGAUGCUUCUGUCUAGCAUGGGCUUUUAUCUUUCUGUCUACCUUUUGUGAGGGUUAUUCGGAUGUUUAGCUCCGGACACAGGGCCAACAGAAACAAGCAGAAGCUCUGCUAGGCCCAAGACAAACUUCAGGGUCCCCUCUCUCCUCUUCUACGCCGCUCCACUUCCCCCAAGUCAAGGAACCACAAAAUGUCUAGCUGGAAGAUUCAUUUAAUCUCCAGACCAAGAUUCUUCAACUUUAUCAUGCCACAGACUCUGACAAUCCAGUGAAGGCCGCUGACUCCUUCUCAGAAUCAUGAUUUUAAGUGCAUUUAAUAAAAUGUAUGUGAUUGUUAAGGAAAACAAUUACAUCGGAAUAGUUAUAACAUUUUAAAUUGUCUGAAAGUAAUAUAUGUGCUCCUUUAUUAAAGCUUUAAAUAGAAAGAGCUAGUGGUGGAUCUAAUAUUUACCACGAUUUCAAAGUAGUGGUGAGGAUAAAGGACAUUUUGAGAUGUCAACAACAACUGUAAUGUGACAUAUGAGAGAGUGCUGAUAUUAC